CCUACGGGUGACAGCAGUGGGGGAUAUUGCACAAUGGGGGAAACCCUGAUGCAGCGACGCCGCGUGUGGGAAGACGGUCCUCUGGAUUGUAAACCACUGUCCCCAGGGACGAAGAUGACGGUACCUGGGGAGGAAGCUCCGGCGAACUACGUGCCAGCAGCCGCGGCAAUACGUAGGGAGCGAGCGUUGUCCGGAAUUACUGCGUGUAAAGGGAGCGUAGGGGGAACUGCAAGUUGGGUGUCAAAUCUACGGGCUCAACCGGUAGCCGCACUCAAAACUGCAGUUCUUGAGUGAAGUAGAGGCAGGCGGAAUUCCUGGUGUAGCGGUGAAAUGCGUAGAUAUUAGGAGGAACACCAGUGGCGAAGGCGGCCUGCUGGGCUUUUACUGACGCUGAGGCUCGAAAGUGUGGGGAGCAAACAGGAUUAGAUACCCUAGUAGUC
RNAcentral lists this ribosomal RNA (440 nucleotides) under uncultured bacterium. RNAcentral's name for it is "partial 16S ribosomal RNA". It matches the Rfam family "Bacterial small subunit ribosomal RNA", at positions 338 to 795 of the family's 1533-position model. The record is from RNAcentral.